CUUGGCAAUAGCAUCGCCAUCAGCUUCAGCAGCAGCAGCAACGGCAUCAUCUCGACCCUGGAUUAAAUUCGCCACUCUGUGGCCACAGCGCCCUCUAGCGCCGGCCGCAUUGAACUACAACUCCCCUGGUCCCUGUGCCCGAGACCCCGUUAUUUGUCUGGCUGCGCAGGGAAGAAAGAGACGUCUUGGAUCGUGAGCUGCGUCCCUCGUCAGCGAUGUCAGCCCCCGGCGGAGGAAUGCGCCUGUGUCUGUGGGGCCUCCUCGUGUUCAUCAUGGCCAACGCAAUGGGCCCCAGGGCCGUGCAGGGCUGCUCCUGUGCUCCGUCGCACCCGCAGCAGGCGUUCUGUGCAGCGGACCUGGUUACACGUGCCAGGGUGGUGGGCGAGGCGGUGGUGGCCGGCCCAGAGGGAUCGGCGAGCAUCCAGUACGAAAUAUCCCUGCUCCAGGUGUUCAAAGGCCCAGGAGGGCCGGGCGACGCGACGCACCUGUACACGAACCGCGAGGGCUACCUGUGUGGUGCAAAACUCAAGACGGACACUGAGUACCUGCUGGCAGCGCGCCGAGUCGAGGAUAAGCUGCGCAUCUCCCUGUGCGACCUCGCCAAGCCUUGGGCGAGCGUGAGCCCUGCUCAGGCACAGAACCUGGCCGGGGAGUACGGGCGCGGCUGUGGUGUCUGCUCGAUCAAACUCUGCUACGCGAGCGAGUGUGAACGCUCGGUGCCGGGUGAGUGCACCGGCUCCUACCACGACAUGUUCGGGCUGGACGGUCGCCGACUGUCCGAGGAGCAUGCGUGCCUGCAGACCGAGCCACGUCCCGGUUCCAGCCCCGGUCCUGACACCUGCCAGUGGGUGCAGGGCCACUUGCCUAACAACACCGUCGCUGUUGUCGUCACCACCAGCACCGCGGAGGGCACGGAUCACGUUCCGGCAACUUGGGAUAAUUCUGCGGGGCAGUAAACACGUGGUCGCAUAUAUAGGCUGCCGCCCAUACCAGUGUUACCACCGCAGUAGUAUUAUACACUUGCCAACGCUACUGAUCGUAAUAGAACAACACGCAAAGGUGUGCUCUGCUCACGACAGCAGGGAGGCACGUCUCCCAUCAUGCCGUGCACGCCAUGAGAUCACCACACUGCAUGUAUAAUCCUUUCAGCAUUGUCCAGACCACCGAACUGAACAUGGCUGUAUCAUGGACAAGGCUGAGAGCCUUGUACGUGCAAUCUGGUGGGCACAUGCAUGCCAAGGCAGGAUGGGAGACGUGCCUUCAUGCUAUUGUGAGCAGCACACCUUUGUGGGUUGUUUUUUCUGUUUACAUCCUGCACGCAUUAUUUAUGUUUUGAUGGAUUUUCUCAUUAUUUACUAAAUGUAUUGGAUUUGAACUCCCGAUUUAACAAGUAGGCUGCUGAUUUGUAAACUCUUUUACCGCAUGUACGCUGGGAAGAGUAGGCCAAACACCCAGUCUAGAGUCUCUCUCAAGCUGCCACGUAUGGAGGCCCUUCUGCCGGCAGUGGUGUCAGCAAGUGAGGUUCAGGGCUGCACCUUUACGUUUCAAUUAUUUAAAAAGCUUAUGACACUGUUCUGCUUCAUUGUAACCUCAUUUGCCAGGUAAAAAACCAAUUAUCACUGUGCUUCUUUAUAAAAAAAUGUUGGGAAAAAUAAUGAAUUCGCGAUGCGAUUUUAGCUUUGAAGAUCGGUUGUGCAGAAUCGAGGGAUUACAAAUCAGCAGCUUUGCCACUUAAAUCCGUGGGGUUGGCAAGUAAAGUUUGUAUUGCGAGAACCCAAAACGAUGGCAUCGUUAUUUAUUUAACUAGGGAAAAUGCUGAAACGUAGAAAGUUGCCUGUCAUUGAAUUAAAGCUUUUGUGACUGCAGGAAUUCAUAUUCUUUGGGUCUUUCGGUGAAGUCACGAAGAUAGGUUCGAAGUAUUUAACAAAAAACUACGCUUCGAUCAAAACACAAGCGUUCGUCAUCAUCUUCCUGAUGACGAACGCUUCCGUUGCGAUCGAAACGUCGUAGUUUUUUGUUAUUUUCCUUGAACCUAUCUACGUGACUUUAGCGAAAGCCCCAAAGAAAGUUGCCUGUCAUUUAGUUUUCGCGUGGCGUUAAUUGUUGAGAAUGCAGACUAAGCUGUGUGCGUUGGAAGGAAGCCUUUCUGGGCCGCUACGUUUGCGUUGUAGACGUGAGGUCUUCGUGGAAUUGCUUCAGCCGGACACAUCCCAGCUGAUGGGCCACUCUCUCGCGUUACACAACCACGCCGAUUCUUGGAUGACCUCGAUCCCAACAAAUUGACCUUCGGCCAAACUCUUCGGAUUUUCAUCGGCGUCCAGUCGCGAGUGAAACUUUUCCACGCGUCGCACGGAAGAAAAAUGUUUUUUCACUCCGACCAUUCCUUGCGAUACGGUACAGGCGGUGCUUAAUUUUCUCACUCGACAUUUUCCGGAACGAUAAUCGGCUGGCUUGGGUGUAGGGAUUAUCGGCAUAAGGACAAUACCGCUCGGGUCAAAGGUACACCUAUCCAUAUUUUAUUAUUAUGCCCUAUAUUCAUUUGACGAUAUGGGCAGGUUUAGGACCAAAUUAGGAGACGUGGAUGUGACGCACCAAAAUAAUCCACAGAGCAAUGUUCUGGCUGACAUUAAGCACUACACACGAUACUUAUAAAAUAGAAAUGUUUGACUCUUACUAAACAUUACUUAUCAUACGUACUAAGGGUGUUAAGGGUCAUGGUUUCCAAUUAUUAUUUUUUCAUGCCGAUAAAAUAGCCACUCGAGUGUGUGUUCACAGUGGAUGACUGCUUGGCAGUCACAAUCCCUCGAAAAGCACCGAUGCCAAAGGACUUUCAGAGGGCAGUACAGCCAGAGAAAUGUCACUCUCCCAAGCGCUCGCACGAAAAUGCCUUUGUCGAUAUAUAAUGUCACGUUCAUAUUCGAAUGCGGAUUUGAAUGGGGAGAUAUGUGGAUUUAAAUCAAGAGGGCAGAGGCCUGCUCUGGCAACACUGCUGACGAGGUUGGUGGGUGGAUGUCAAAGUCAACCAUAAACCAACACUGCCACAACCCUCACCGUGACCCUUCACCCCGCCGUGUUUAAAAACACCGCCACGGCAACCUUCAUCGCUUAUAAAUUAAACUCAACGAUGCACAUCUAAAACGUCACUAGUCACCUCUUACAUUUCUUUCGACUUUCACAUCCAGUUCCGUGUCAAUUCCACUGACACCCCCCCCGCCUUCCCGAAACCAUCUCCGAUCGUGCCGAGGUCGCCGGCAGGUGAAAAUAAAACCACUCUAACACGCUGGGCAAGAAGUCUUUAGGUUUACGUUCUCAGGAAUAUGAUUUUGUCCAAAUUUGAAGCACGUCUGUAGCCGAUGUUGUCGCUUCUGCCGAUGGUCGUCGUCGUCGUGAGCUGUGCAAUUGCGCUUACUUAACGCCUCGAUGUCUGGCGUAAAAAAACCGAGGGUUUACUAAACGGGGCACGCAGUCGAUUUGUUUAAGGGCGCUGCGGUGGCGAGAUGUUAAUUCCCUCGCCUGGUAUACAGGAGGUCGUGGGUUGGAUCCCGACCCUGACGCCUGCUGUAUAUUUGGAGUUUUCAUGUUUUCCCUAUUUAGAAAAAUGCGUUUAGAGUAUUUGACUGCUAUAAAUGUCCACGUAACAAGCCACUUCGUUGAGCUAUCACGUGGCCAGGUCGCUUCUAAAAAAAGAGCUACAUAGCUCCGUGGGCCUUAUCACUGGUGGCAUAUACAACCAGAACGCACACAGCAAGGUUGCCGAAAUAUGUUGUGUGUAAAGACUGGAGCAGGCGGCUCGUGACUGGCAAACCACAGCCAUAGUGAGAGGAACGGUGGACGCGGUUGUACCGGGUACGGAAAUAUUCUCCUAUUGCCGAUAUGGACAGACGCGGCUGAAAUUAAGCCCCUGGGUGUAACAUUCAAGAGAUGUAUAAGCACUUGCGGUCAAACGCCAUUCAAUUUCAAACAGCACUUUAAACUGGACCUCAGAUGGGAGGCAACUUGUACGCGCGCAACAUUAGUUUCCAUAGUGCAAUUUAAAUGCCGCUUUAGGUUUCAACUAGCGAAUAAGCAUGCAGUGUUACGGUUUUCAUCGUAUGGCAUUUAAAUGGUAACUCUGGAUCAUAGCAGGCUUGCACAUAAUAAAGGCCACUACUGUAUGUUGUGCCAGUGUUGCCGA
Lethenteron reissneri (Far Eastern brook lamprey) is the source of this 4174-nucleotide RNA transcript. It is a transcript of the gene named metalloproteinase inhibitor 4-like, with no coding region annotated. Lineage: Eukaryota; Metazoa; Chordata; Hyperoartia; Petromyzontiformes; Petromyzontidae. The record is from RefSeq and is a predicted model, not a curated record.